RNAcentral lists this long non-coding RNA (714 nucleotides) under Cyanistes caeruleus (blue tit). RNAcentral's name for it is "lncRNA (ENSCCEG00000009685.1)". The record is from RNAcentral. Lineage: Eukaryota; Metazoa; Chordata; Aves; Passeriformes; Paridae.
AUUAUCUUUUCCAUAAUGGCAAAACAGCUGUGAGAAUAAAGAAAAUCAGUCAUGGAAAGAUUAGUAGUAUUUCAUACUCCUGGUAUCUGCACUGAAGGUAGUCAAUCACCCCUUUUUAAAGGCAGCAAACAGUAGUCAAUACAGGUAGCUGCAGGAAGCAGGGUGAUCUUUUAUCUCCACAGAAGAAAAUUGAAAGCUCCAGCUGAGUAAAAUGAUGAGGAAAUGGAAACAGAAUUGCUGGGUGAGACAAAUCCAGGAAUAAAGAGGCACAUUUCAAGAUUAAAUACAAACUAUAGUUUAAGAAAAUGCUUUGGAAAAGUCUGUUUUAAAAUACGAAGAACAGUGUGAGUCCAGCUUAAAUUUGUAAAAGGGUUUUGUGUUGCAGGAGAUUUGUCCAUAAAUUCCAUACAGACUUGCACUAAACUUCAUACUUGCCAACAUAUCUUCUUAUAUUUGUACCUUGGUUUUAGCAACUGAAUCCACAACUGCUCAUGUUAGCAGUCUUCUAUGCCUUGCAAAAAGAGUUAAUGCAAUUUUCUUAAGCUGGAAAAUGAUCUGAUGUAUUUAGGAAAAGCCCAUGGAUUAUUUUUUUUCAGCCUAAAAUGUCAUUGCUUACAUCUGAAUUCAAAUUAACCUCUGAGCAUUGAUGGUUUAACAUCUAUUUUCCUCUUUUGCUUUGACUCCAUAGGAGCAUACAAGGAUACAGGUGUGAGG